UGUAGUGUCAACGAUGAUGCAUACAUGUCAACUAUGGGUGUUGGCUCCAACAAUUCGCAUUGGUCUCAAACCAAUGACAUGCAUUUCGAAGACCAUGAGUUCGAGGUGGACGAGGAUGGUGAGGGCAUUGUCGACGCGCCGAAAGGAAGAGCGGGCAAUUACACCAACGCCGAAGACAUCUUACUAUGCAAUACUUGGUUGCAAGUGUCGAGGGAUCCAUCCGUUGAAGGUGAUCAAAGUAGAGAUGCUUAUUGGGGGCGGAUGAAAGAACACUUUGAUGUUCGCAACGUGAGUGGAAUUGACCGCUCCGAGACAUCACCUCGGUCCCGGUGGUCGACAAUCAACAAGGAUUGUCAAAAGUGGGCGGCCGCACAAAAGGCAGUUGACAAGUUGAACCCAAAUGGCACCAAUGAGGACGAUAGAGUUAGUGGCAUUUCAUCCAUGUUCAUGAUACUUGUUGUUGGUGUUUGA
This 471-nucleotide ribosomal RNA is filed under the name Triticum aestivum (bread wheat). RNAcentral's name for it is "partial small subunit ribosomal RNA". The record is from RNAcentral. Lineage: Eukaryota; Viridiplantae; Streptophyta; Magnoliopsida; Poales; Poaceae.